Perognathus longimembris pacificus (Pacific pocket mouse) is the source of this 134-nucleotide small nucleolar RNA. RefSeq annotates it as small nucleolar RNA U109. The record is from RefSeq and is a predicted model, not a curated record. The transcript has a single exon. NCBI's taxonomy places the organism in Eukaryota, Metazoa, Chordata, Mammalia, Rodentia, Heteromyidae.
UUGCAUGUGGAAAUGCCUCUCCUUCUUUCUUGUGGAGCAGGAAUACAUCCAUAACAUGCUACAUUGAAGUAGGAGUCCUCAGGGCUGCCAACCUUCCAGUAGAGGUUGAGUAGUAGUAUAUUUCUCCUACAUCA